CCAGACUCCUACGGGAGGCAGCAGUGAGGAAUAUUGGUCAAUGGGCGAGAGCCUGAACCAGCCAAGUCGCGUGAGGGAAGACGGUCCUAUGGAUUGUAAACCUCUUUUGCCGGGGAGCAAAAAGCGGUACGUGUACCGCAUCGAGAGUACCCGGAGAAAAAGCAUCGGCUAACUCCGUGCCAGCAGCCGCGGUAAUACGGAGGAUGCGAGCGUUAUCCGGAUUUAUUGGGUUUAAAGGGUGCGCAGGCGGAGAGUUAAUGAACGGAAAAAAUUGGGGGCCACAACCGCGACGAGCCGCUGAAACUGGCUUGCUAGAGUGGGCGAGAAGUAUGCGGAAUGCGUGGUGUAGCGGUGAAAUGCAUAG
Molecule: ribosomal RNA, 364 nt
Filed under: uncultured bacterium
Lineage: Bacteria
Description: bacterial SSU rRNA
Rfam family: Bacterial small subunit ribosomal RNA
Source: RNAcentral